Molecule: ribosomal RNA, 401 nt
Filed under: uncultured bacterium
Lineage: Bacteria
Description: bacterial SSU rRNA
Rfam family: Bacterial small subunit ribosomal RNA
Source: RNAcentral
GAAUAUUGCACAAUGGGGGAAACCCUGAUGCAGCAACGCCGCGUGAGCGAUGAAGGCCUUCGGGUCGUAAAGCUCUGUCCUAUGGGAAGAACAAAUGACGGUACCAUAGGAGGAAGCCCCGGCUACCUACGUGCCAGCAGCCGCGGUAAUACGUAGGGGGCAAGCGUUAUCCGGAAUCACUGGGCGUAAAGGGGGCGUAGGCGGUCGACAAAGUCUGGGGUGAAAGGCUACGGCUCAACCGUAGUAAGCCUUGGAAACUUGUUGACUUGAGUGCAGGAGAGGUAAGUGGAAUUCCUAGUGUAGCGGUGAAAUGCGUAGAUAUUAGGAGGAACACCAGUGGCGAAGGCGACUUACUGGACUGUAACUGACGCUGAGGCACGAAAGCGUGGGGAGCAAACAGG